Molecule: long non-coding RNA, 1443 nt
Filed under: Malus domestica (apple)
Lineage: Eukaryota; Viridiplantae; Streptophyta; Magnoliopsida; Rosales; Rosaceae
Description: long non-coding RNA (MDOM_LNC004351)
Source: RNAcentral
GGGUGGAGGGGGGGGCUUUGGCCGAAAAAUCUCCGAUGCCAAAGUUAGAAUUCUGAAAAGAAUGUGUUUAGGAGUUUGUGGGUAGCAAAAUGGCCCAACAUUUUAGUGGGAUAAGUGGGGUAUUUAUAGGAGAGUGGCCGGCCCUAUUGGUGGAGAAUGACUGGUCAUAUAUGGUGUAAUUAGAUGAAUAAUUGCAAGAUAUUAUGUGAAAUAAUAUCUUGCAAUUAACAUGACAAUUAUUUCUAUAUUAAAUAGGAAGUUUUGAGAGUUACAUUUUGAAUAAAAUCAAUAAGGGAUUGAUGGAGAGUGAUGAAAGGGAUUUGAAUAAAUAUCAUAAUGAUCACCUUUGACUCUUCCUUGAUUGAGCCGUUAUUGUCCGUUGCAUGCGUGUGGGAAUUCUUGUGUGCCUUGAGAGUAAUCUCGUCUUUCUUGUCCAAAAAUUCAUGUGUCACCUCCACGUUUUUUGAGAUCAUUUUUGGCUCACAUGCUCCACCUCCUUUGUGCACAAAUUUGAAUCUCAUUCUCAUAGUAUAGAUGAAUUAGUGUAGUUAUUCUAUAUAUUUUGUCAUAAAAAUCCUAAAAGAAAUCCCAUGUUAAUUUUUAGCAUUCAGAUUAAUCAGUAAAAGACUUGAAAGAUUUCAAGUUUAUUAAUUAAUAUUUAAAAAAAGAAGUUUAUCUGCAUAGUAAUUGUCAUAAUCUACGGAGACUAGGAACUAUGCAAUACAUUUUAGUAUGACAGUCAUACCAUCAUAUAAUGUUACAAUUUAUAUUCAUUCAUAUAAUAUAAUCUAUGUAUUGUUAUAACACGUGAAUUAAUAUUAUUUUUUAAAAUAUAUAAUGGUCACCAUGCAUGACAAUACAUGAAUUAAUAACAUAGUCAUUGUUACAGUUUGCAGACAGUAUUUAUAUAUACAAAGCUGCAAAAUAUAAACGCAUGCAUGAAAAAUGUAAUCAAGAGAGAAGCAUGUGGAUGGCUCACGUAUCCCUCAUGACCUCUGUCUUGUGUGUGAACAAGAGGGUUGACGGCGAAACCUUUCAUUAUUCCUGAGGAAUUCAUAACAAGAAUGACAAUCAUGGUGGCAGAUUCAUUUGAUCGAUUUCAUCACAGAAUUCAACUUCUGAAUAUAUCAAAAGUUCUCUUAGUUAAUACUAAGAGCUAAUAUAUAUAUAUUCUAUGCGUGUUUAAGCCAAAUAAUAUUGCGCACACAAAUGUGAAAAAAUGUAUUAGAAUACCCAAUAACUAGAUCUGAUAAUUUCUUACACGACAUGCAAAUAAAACAAAAAUAACGGGUUUCGGGUCAACACGAUAACUAAUCGAGUCAUUAUCGGAUCACACGAUAAGAACCUGUUAAUAAUGGGUCCUUAACAAGUUUACACGAAAGUGACAUGCGGAUAACCUAUUUCGACACGUUAUGUAAAAAAUUAUUUUGAAUAUUUUAAUUU